Molecule: transfer RNA, 85 nt
Filed under: Felis catus (domestic cat)
Lineage: Eukaryota; Metazoa; Chordata; Mammalia; Carnivora; Felidae
Rfam family: tRNA
About the family: Transfer RNA (tRNA) molecules are approximately 80 nucleotides in length. Their secondary structure includes four short double-helical elements and three loops (D, anti-codon, and T loops).
Source: Rfam by way of RNAcentral
GCCUGGGUGGCUCAGUCGGUUGAGCGUCCGACUUCGGUUCAGGUCGUGAUCUCACAGUUUGUGGGUUCAAGCCCCGCAUCAGGCU